Meriones unguiculatus (Mongolian gerbil) is the source of this 131-nucleotide small nucleolar RNA. NCBI's taxonomy places the organism in Eukaryota, Metazoa, Chordata, Mammalia, Rodentia, Muridae. The record is from Ensembl.
ACUGCCCCUAGAAGAGUUGAAGUGUAGCUGCUGUGUCAAAUGUGCAUCAUUAGGUGGCAGAGGGGAGAGAGGCUGUGUCUACACUCAGUGUUCGGAGCUGUGAACCUCUGAAGGAUUUGUAGCCUUACCCU